UGCAAGUCGAGCGGAUGGAUAGGAAGCUUGCUUCCUAGAAGUCAGCGGCGGACGGGUGAGUAACACGUGGGCAACCUGCCCCUAAGAUCGGGAUAACUUCGGGAAACCGGAGCUAAUACCGGAUAUGAUUAUGUCUCACAUGAGACAUAAUGGAAAGACGGUUUCGGCUGUCACUUAGGGAUGGGCCCGCGGCGCAUUAGCUAGUUGGUGAGGUAACGGCUCACCAAGGCGACGAUGCGUAGCCGACCUGAGAGGGUGAUCGGCCACACUGGGACUGAGACACGGCCCAGACUCCUACGGGAGGCAGCAGUAGGGAAUCUUCCGCAAUGGACGAAAGUCUGACGGAGCAACGCCGCGUGAGUGAAGAAGGUUUUCGGAUCGUAAAACUCUGUUGUUAGGGAAGAACAAGUACCAUAGUAACUGAUGGUACCUUGACGGUACCUAACCAGAAAGCCACGGCUAACUACGUGCCAGCAGCCGCGGUAAUACGUAGGUGGCAAGCGUUGUCCGGAUUUAUUGGGCGUAAAGCGCGCGCAGGCGGUCUUUUAAGUCUGAUGUGAAAGCCCACGGCUCAACCGUGGAGGGUCAUUGGAAACUGGGAGACUUGAGUGCAGAAGAGGAGAGUGGAAUUCCACGUGUAGCGGUGAAAUGCGUAGAGAUGUGGAGGAACACCAGUGGCGAAGGCGACUCUCUGGUCUGUAACUGACGCUGAGGCGCGAAAGCGUGGGGAGCGAACAGGAUUAGAUACCCUGGUAGUCCACGCCGUAAACGAUGAGUGCUAAGUGUUAGAGGGUUUCCGCCCUUUAGUGCUGCAGCUAACGCAUUAAGCACUCCGCCUGGGGAGUACGGGCC
RNAcentral lists this ribosomal RNA (852 nucleotides) under Peribacillus deserti. RNAcentral's name for it is "bacterial SSU rRNA". It matches the Rfam family "Bacterial small subunit ribosomal RNA", at positions 56 to 888 of the family's 1533-position model. Lineage: Bacteria; Bacillati; Bacillota; Bacilli; Caryophanales; Bacillaceae. The record is from RNAcentral.